UUCUUUGGAGAGUUUGAUCCUGGCUCAGGACGAACGCUGGCGGCGUGCCUAAUACAUGCAAGUCGAGCGGACCGAACGAGGGCUUGCUCUUGUUUGGUCAGCGGCGGACGGGUGAGUAACACGUGGGCAACCUGCCCGCAAGACCGGGAUAACUCCGGGAAACCGGAGCUAAUACCGGAUAACACCGAAGACCGCAUGGUCUUCGGUUGAAAGGCGGCCUUU
This 222-nucleotide ribosomal RNA is filed under the name Geobacillus stearothermophilus. RNAcentral describes it as "partial 16S ribosomal RNA". It matches the Rfam family "Bacterial small subunit ribosomal RNA", at positions 1 to 216 of the family's 1533-position model. The record is from RNAcentral. Lineage: Bacteria; Bacillati; Bacillota; Bacilli; Caryophanales; Anoxybacillaceae.